GCCGGCAUAGCUCAGCAGGUAGAGCAACGCUUUUGUAAAGCGAAGGUCAGAGGUUCGAUUCCUCUUGCCGGCUCC
RNAcentral lists this transfer RNA (75 nucleotides) under Microgenomates group bacterium ADurb.Bin238. RNAcentral describes it as "tRNA-Thr". It matches the Rfam family "tRNA". Rfam says of the family: Transfer RNA (tRNA) molecules are approximately 80 nucleotides in length. Their secondary structure includes four short double-helical elements and three loops (D, anti-codon, and T loops). Further hydrogen bonds mediate the characteristic L-shaped molecular structure. tRNAs have two regions of fundamental functional importance: the anti-codon, which is responsible for specific mRNA codon recognition, and the 3' end, to which the tRNAs corresponding amino acid is attached (by aminoacyl-tRNA synthetases). tRNAs cope with the degeneracy of the genetic code in two manners: having more than one tRNA (with a specific anti-codon) for a particular amino acid; and 'wobble' base-pairing, i.e. permitting non-standard base-pairing at the 3rd anti-codon position. The record is from RNAcentral.